Molecule: long non-coding RNA, 1171 nt
Filed under: Homo sapiens (human)
Lineage: Eukaryota; Metazoa; Chordata; Mammalia; Primates; Hominidae
Description: non-protein coding lnc-ZNF680-43:1
Source: RNAcentral
UGUGGCCAUGGCCGCCGUGGCCGAGCGGGGCCGCGUGCCUACCCCCGUGCCUGCGCCCGCGCCCAGCACUGAGGGGCUGCCGCGCGCCUUGCUGCAGAGCCUGCACACCCUGUUCCACAUCUGGACAACAGGCGGUGCGGCUGCAGGCACCUGCACGAGAUCCAGUCUCGCUGGCAGGGCGCCAACACGUGGGAGCAGCCACGCGGGGUGCUGGAGGGCUUGUGCCAGGUGGCCCAGGCCAGCGGCUACUUGACCUUCGAGCGCUUCGUGGCCGGCUUGCGCACCACGCUGCUGAGCCCGAUGGCGGCCCCUGGGACCCCACAUGCGCCCUGGCCGGGACCAGGGACCAGCCGCCGCCGCCGCCGCCGCCGCCGCCGCGGCAGCGCCUGGUGUUAGCGCCCGCUGAAGAGCCGCGGACGGUCCUGGAGAGGAAGCCCCAGCCCCUGGGCGUGCGCGGCCAUCUGGCCGUCCCAGCGGCGCGGCCCGCAGCCCGGAGCAGCUGUGCUCCCGGGCCGAGGCGGCGCCCUGCCCCGUGGAGCCGGAGCUGUCCCAGAGCACCGCGCUGGAACCGAGCCGGAGUGCAGACGCAGGUGCAGUGGCCUGCAGGGCCCAGGGCCAGGGAGGCGGACUCAGGGGAUGCCUGGCGGGCCUCCAGUGCCCCAGGGGAACGUCGGAGUCACACCAUCACCAGCGGUAUGGACUGCGGCCUGCUGAAGCAGAUAAAGAAGCUGGAGCAGAGAAGGCUGUGCAGUUGCAGGCUUUGGAGAUGACGGCGCGGGGCCGCGGCUGGUACCAGCAGCAGCUGCAAUGAGUGCAGGAGCACCAGCACCGACUAUGGGGCUGCGGGAGCCCCCGCCCACUGGGGCGGCUACUGCCCAAGGUACAGGAGGUGGCCUGGUGCCUGAGGGAGCUGCUGGCUGCGGCCUGUGCCAGCCAGGCCCUGUCCAAGUCCUCCUCCGCCCCCCACCCGGUCCUGCCCGCACGUCCACUUCGUCCCUGGGCCGGCAGCAGCAGACCAUCCUCAUGCUGAAUGAGCAGAACCGACUCCUCACCCAGGAGGUGACAGAGAAGAGUGAGCGCAUCACGCAGCUGGAGCAGGAGAAGUCAGCACUCAUUAAGCAGCUGUUUGAGGCCCGCGCCCUGAGCCAGUGGGACGUGGGCGCCUCUGGAC